AUUAUGAUUUGCACGCAAGCGAAUCCUCUACUCGGAAAUGUUCGGACGAGCCGAACCACUAACGA
RNAcentral lists this non-coding RNA (65 nucleotides) under unclassified sequences. RNAcentral's name for it is "MDR-NUDIX RNA". It matches the Rfam family "MDR-NUDIX RNA". The record is from RNAcentral.